This 22-nucleotide small nuclear RNA is filed under the name Arabidopsis thaliana (thale cress). RNAcentral's name for it is "snRNA_07012". Lineage: Eukaryota; Viridiplantae; Streptophyta; Magnoliopsida; Brassicales; Brassicaceae. The record is from RNAcentral.
CAGCCCUUUGUCGCUAAGAUUC